CCCUCUCGGGUUACCGAAUUCAGACAAACUCCGAAUGCCAAUUAAUUUAACUUGGGAGUCAGAACAUGGGUGAUAAGGUCCGUGUUCGAAAGGGAAACAGCCCAGACCACCAGCUAAGGUCCCAAAAUAUAUGUUAAGUGGAAAAGGAUGUGGCGUUGCCCAGACAACUAGGAUGUUGGCUUAGAAGCAGCCAUCAUUUAAAGAGUGCGUAAUAGCUCACUAGUCGAGUGACACUGCGCCGAAAAUGUACCGGGGCUAAACAUAUUACCGAAGCUGUGGAUUGUCCUUUGGACAAUGGUAGGAGAGCGUUCUAAGGGCGUUGAAGCAUGAUCGUAAGGACAUGUGGAGCGCUUAGAAGUGAGAAUGCCGGUGUGAGUAGCGAAAGACGGGUGAGAAUCCCGUCCACCGAUUGACUAAGGUUUCCAGAGGAAGGCUCGUCCGCUCUGGGUUAGUCGGGUCCUAAGCUGAGGCCGACAGGCGUAGGCGAUGGAUAACAGGUUGAUAUUCCUGUACCACCUAUAAUCGUUUUAAUCGAUGGGGGGACGCAGUAGGAUAGGCGAAGCGUGCGAUUGGAUUGCACGUCUAAGCAGUAAGGCUGAGUAUUAGGCAAAUCCGGUACUCGUUAAGGCUGAGCUGUGAUGGGGAGAAGACAUUGUGUCUUCGAGUCGUUGAUUUCACACUGCCGAGAAAAGCCUCUAGAUAGAAAAUAGGUGCCCGUACCGCAAACCGACACAGGUAGUCAAGAUGAGAAUUCUAAGGUGAGCGAGCGAACUCUCGUUAAGGAACUCGGCAAAAUGACCCCGUAACUUCGGGAGAAGGGGUGCUCUUUAGGGUUAACGCCCAGAAGAGCCGCAGUGAAUAGGCCCAAGCGACUGUUUAUCAAAAACACAGGUCUCUGCUAAACCGUAAGGUGAUGUAUAGGGGCUGACGCCUGCCCGGUGCUGGAAGGUUAAGAGGAGUGGUUAGCUUCUGCGAAGCUACGAAUCGAAGCCCCAGUAAACGGCGGCCGUAACUAUAACGGUCCUAAGGUAGCGAAAUUCCUUGUCGGGUAAGUUCCGACCCGCACGAAAGGCGUAACGAUUUGGGCACUGUCUCAACGAGAGACUCGGUGAAAUCAUAGUACCUGUGAAGAUGCAGGUUACCCGCGACAGGACGGAAAGACCCCGUGGAGCUUUACUGUAGCCUGAUAUUGAAAUUCGGCACAGCUUGUACAGGAUAGGUAGGAGCCUUUGAAACGUGAGCGCUAGCUUACGUGGAGGCGCUGGUGGGAUACUACCCUAGCUGUGUUGGCUUUCUAACCCGCACCACUUAUCGUGGUGGGAGACAGUGUCAGGCGGGCAGUUUGACUGGGGCGGUCGCCUCCUAAAAGGUAACGGAGGCGCUCAAAGGUUCCCUCAGAAUGGUUGGAAAUCAUUCAUAGAGUGUAAAGGCAUAAGGGAGCUUGACUGCGAGACCUACAAGUCGAGCAGGGUCGAAAGACGGACUUAGUGAUCCGGUGGUUCCGCAUGGAAGGGCCAUCGCUCAACGGAUAAAAGCUACCCCGGGGAUAACAGGCUUAUCUCCCCCAAGAGUUCACAUCGACGGGGAGGUUUGGCACCUCGAUGUCGGCUCAUCGCAUCCUGGGGCUGUAGUCGGUCCCAAGGGUUGGGCUGUUCGCCCAUUAAAGCGGUACGCGAGCUGGGUUCAGAACGUCGUGAGACAGUUCGGUCCCUAUCCGUCGUGGGCGUAGGAAAUUUGAGAGGAGCUGUCCUUAGUACGAGAGGACCGGGAUGGACAUACCUCUGGUGUACCAGUUGUCGUGCCAACGGCAUAGCUGGGUAGCUAUGUGUGGACGGGAUAAGUGCUGAAAGCAUCUAAGCAUGAAGCCCCCCUCAAGAUGAGAUUUCCCAACUUCGGUUAUAAGAUCCCUCAAAGAUGAUGAGGUUAAUAGGUUCGAGGUGGAAGCAUGGUGACAUGUGGAGCUGACGAAUACUAAUCGAUCGAAGACUUAAUCAAAUU
This 1998-nucleotide ribosomal RNA is filed under the name Staphylococcus aureus. RNAcentral describes it as "bacterial LSU rRNA". It matches the Rfam family "Bacterial large subunit ribosomal RNA", at positions 926 to 2925 of the family's 2925-position model. The record is from RNAcentral. Lineage: Bacteria; Bacillati; Bacillota; Bacilli; Caryophanales; Staphylococcaceae.